GGCACAAACGGCGAGUCAGCGCACGCCACGUGGGUGCUGAAGAGAAUCGUACGCACGCGCACAUAUCAUCACGCUCUCUCUCUCUCUCUCCUCUGCCCUUUUCUUUUUCGCUUUAGUUUACACAUAGAGCGGUGGAGACGGCCAAAGCCACUUUUACCCUUUCCAUAGACCGUGUUAGCUUUCACACACGAUAACCUCUUUAUGUAUUCUAGGCGUGUGUGUGUGUGUGUGUGUGUGUGUGUUGCUGUUUCUUCCUCUCCUUUCUCUUCUAGUCUCCCCGCUUUAUCGAGUGCAUCAUCUGCUCACACUUCACUGUCACCUCUGUUCAUCUCCCUCCCUCCGCGCAGCCCUGGUCCCUUUUCUCUCAACGCCCCACAACACGUGCUCAGUCAAGUCCCCUCAGUCGCGCACCCACGCCAUCACCACCACCGCAUCAUCUCAUCUCUCAGGCUCUCCCCACCCCCCACCCCACCCCGCUUUGAUCCCAACCUGUUGUUGGUUUGCGGUUUUUAUUUUCCGGACGUCAUGCUAGGCCGUGGAGUGCAUUCGGUGCUGUCGUCUCUCAGGCUCUCCUGGCGUUUCUCUUCUCCGUCGAGGGCGCGUUUCGCCCACGCACACCCUCACUUUGUGGCUGCAUGUCUUUGUCAGCGUGUGAAGUAUGCAGGUGGAUCUUCGACGUCGCGGGCUGCAGUCCUUCGACCCCGCCGAGUUCGCCAAUACGGACGAGCACCUACAUCUCCUUCUGCAGGUGCGGCAGCUGGAUCUCUCGCACAACUCGCUGUACACCAUCCGUGGACUUGAAGGGCUGACCCAUUUGACUGUGCUGAACGUUUCUCACAACGGGCUGCGCUCCCUCGGUGGUGGACUUCCGCUGACGCUGCGCGAACUCGAUGCAUCGCACAACAACCUCGCCUCACUCCGGAAUGCCGCUCUUCUGCCGUUGCAGUCUCUUACCUCUCUUAAUGUUUCCUUCAACGAUCUGGAAGACCUGCGAGGGGUCCCCAACGUGACGGCGCAGCUGACGUACCUCGACGUGCGGUGCAAUCGACUCGGCUCCCUGAUAGGGAUCGAGCACUGCGGUCAGUUGCGCACACUUCACGCAGAGGGUAACCUCUUGCGAGAGUUGGCAGACGUCGCCUCCCUCAAGUCUCUCUCACUCUUGAGCGCCGUCUUUCUCUCCGGCAACCCCCUGCUCCUGCGCAAGCGCUUGCUCACUCAACUCCAUCUCCUGCUGCCCUCCAGUGUCGAGCAGGACGACUUGCCCACGACGGCGCCUCCCAGCAGUGUCCGCAGCUCGACAGCGGCACCUCCCUCCGUUGCAGACACGUCGUCCGUCGGCUCGCUCGAUCACAGCACCAUGGCUUCUGUCGGUGAGAAUCGCAAGGAAGGGCGUUGCGGCAGCGGGCAGAACAGCCGGCCAGCAAGCGCGCACCAAGGAACAGUACUAUCCAUGCGCGACACCACCGGCAUGCGUGAUUCUUCCGAAACGCUGGAGAGAACGGCACCGCGACACGACCACCCCUCUUCCCCACGGAGCCAUCACCGUCUGCCUCAUCGUGGCACGUCCGACAGCGCUCGCCCGUCGUAUUUAUCUGCGGCAGCUCCAACCACUACCACCGCCUCUGCCGCCUCUACUGGGGUGGUGGGAGGCUCGUCAGAUAGCCUAGCAUGCCCGCGUCGUGCCCUACCGCAUGAGCACCGCCUCACAGAAACCCCCGGCUCCGCCUCCUUGUCCUCCUCACCUGACCGCACGCACGUGUCGUGGUCCCCUGGGCCAUUGCACAGCAGCAACGGUCGAGGUUCGCUGACUACAAGUCUCUUCCCAGGCGCCGCAUCAUCGCCUCACCAAUACGGCGCCGUCGUCGCCGCACCGCAAGCCACGCGGUACGGCGAAAGUCACAGCAGUCAGCUCGUCCGGGAUGACCUGGAGGAGCAGCUCGUGCGCGUCACUGCGGAGCGGGACGACUAUCGACGCGAGGUCGUUGCCCUGCGGAGAGAGCUUCAAGAGCUGCGGCUAAAGUUUGCACGGCAGUGCUCGCAAGAGAGGGCGGAGGACCGGGAAGGGCUAGCACAGGCAUCUUUGCGCUCCGCAGCAGCAGCUCCGGGUCACGGAGAGGGGGAUUCACGCGGUGCGCAUAGAAUGCCUCGCCACCCACAACAGCAGCAGCAGCAGCAGCAGCGGUCGCCGUCGGUGCGUAUCUUAGCGGUGGAGAUGUCCGCCCACUCGUCGCUUUGCUCGCAGGACGGCGAGAGCGACACCCCCGAUGCGUCCAACAACGACCUCCGCAGCGCACCGCAGAACUCCGCCGCCAUGAGCAGCUCAGUGGGUACAUCGAAGAUGGACAGGCGCGAGAUUGCGGCUCUCUUUAUGACAAAAUUGCAGCAGAGCAGCUCUUCCUCGAAAUGAACGGGUGGGAGGGGGGGCGCCCGGCCUCCUCUCCCACCUCCCCUUCUGCGCCAAACGUGCUGUGGGUUGUGUCGCUUGAUGUCGCUUUCAGAAUUCGUGUUGCUACAGGUGCGAGGGUGCGUGUAAGAAAAGGUUCAGUGAUGGAGUGGUCAGGCUGUAUGCGCGGCUUUACUGUAUGCAGCCCCAUCGACCCAUACGCACGUUGUCGCAUGUCGUUCGGAUAGUUGGUUGUGUGCGUGCGUUCCUUUGGAAUGAAAAGGGCGUGCGAACACGAAAAAAAGAUUUUGCAUCGGUGGCGCACUCCCUCUCUUUCACCCGCUAACGCGGAAGGCGCGUACUCUG
Molecule: unclassified non-coding RNA, 2749 nt
Filed under: Leishmania donovani
Lineage: Eukaryota; Euglenozoa; Kinetoplastea; Trypanosomatida; Trypanosomatidae
Description: gene:LdHU3.11.0540(CDS-product:hypothetical_prote in_conserved)
Source: RNAcentral